Long non-coding RNA from Homo sapiens (human), 2314 nucleotides. NCBI's taxonomy places the organism in Eukaryota, Metazoa, Chordata, Mammalia, Primates, Hominidae. The record is from Ensembl.
UAGCAACAUCAAUGACUAAGGUUUUGGUCAAUCUCUCAAAAUUGAGUAAAUGUCCAAAAGGGGGGAAUUGUUAAGGCAAACUAAAUAUGUCCUGAGAAAGCCUCCAUCCUUCUAUAUUUGCAUCCUUGUGGAUGAACUGUAACCUAGCUUAAUAGUCAGACAAAACUGAAAACCUAACUUAAUAGUAUGUACCUGUAACAAUGACUGAGUGUUGGCCAAUCCCAGUAGCCAUACUUCAACCACUCAUAGACUGCUGAAUGUUCAAACUGUGUUCAGAAAUGUUGAGCUGUAACCAUUCUUACUGUUUCUGUACCUCACUUCAGAUUCCUGUAUAUCACUUUAUCAUUUUUGCCUAUAAAAUUGUUCUUUCCACAAGAUACCCCUGGAGUCUCUAUGAAUCUGCUGUGAUUCUGGGGGCUGCCCAAUUCAUGAAUCAUUCAUUGCUCAAUUAAACUCCUUUAAAUUUAAUUUGGCUGAAGUUUUUCUUUUAUCCCAGGUCUCACCUCUUUAUAGGAGUGGUAUAAAAAAUUUGUAGUCAUUUUUUAAAAGCACCAUAGCACCCAAUUCAUAGGUUUUUUUUUUUUUAGAGUUUUUUUUUUCUUUUCCUAAUUAUCUUACAAAAAAGAAGAUAUCUGGCACUUUAUAGGAGGAAACCAGAGGCAAGUCCUGUGUUUUACUAUAAAGUCAGGUGCAGGAAUACUAACCAAUUCCUUUAUAUUUCCCAAUAUUACCCAGUUCAUUCGUUGGUACACAGUAGGUUCCAGAAAAAUGUUAAGGGGAAAAAUUGAUUGCUAUGAGAAUUUCACAUGAAUUAUGUUUCUUCCAAGGCUCCUUGCAGUCAAUCAGGAUGGAUGUUGCAUUAGUGUUUUCUCUGAUGUAACAGUCAUUAACUACAGCUCUAUUAGCUGUUCAUUUGUGGCAUGAAAUAGAUCCAAAUACAGAGGACUGUAUUUGAACUGAGCCAUUGUUUCAUGAAUAUUAGAACACAAAUCAAUGCAUAUUGACUGGGCUUGUGUAGAUGAAUGUGAUAGCAUUGCCCUCAACAAAAUAUGGUUCAUUUCUUCAGAACAGUGUGUAAAGCUUAGAAUAAAAAUAAGAAGCACUUAAGUUUUUCAAGAUAUUGAACUCUAGGCACUGAGUUAAUAAGUUCAUUUUUAUAGAUGCUUGAUGCUGUAUGAACAGAUACUAUACUUUCUAAAGCAGCUACUUCUGUGUGGAUGGUGGUGGGUAAGAGGCCAGAGAAGGAUGGUAACUAUAGGUAACACUCUUAUGGCACUUUAACGAGCAUCUAUCCUCUCUAUUGGCACUCAAAAGAAACUUGUGAGGCAGGCACUAUCAUCCCAAAUUUAUAAACAAGCAAAUUGAUACCACAGGUUCUAUGCAGUAUGCCAAAAGUCACUGUCUUGCAGUGGUGGAAUUGGAGAUUUAAAUUCCUCAGAUAUGAUUGCCUCUGGAGAGUCACAUCUGAUCCUCCUCAGACAAAUAAGUACUCUUUCUCUGUGUUCUCGUGAUAUCUUGAAAUAUAUCUAUAUCCACCACUUUGUGUUGUAAUUAUCUUCUUAUGUGUUUAUUUCUCUCCACUUGAGUUCAAGAAAAAAGAAAGGUCCUUGUCUCAUAUAUGAGCAUCCACUAAGGAUUUAACCCAAAGUGACCAGUGAAUGCUUGCAGAAUGAAAGAAUAAAUUAUUGAAGAUCCUUUAACUCUAAAAAUCUCUACCAAUCCAUGAUGCAUUUUAAGAAAAAAGUGUUCUGUUAGAAUAGGGUGAAGAAAAGCUGAUAUUUGUGAGUAGGAUGCAAGGGAACCAUAGACAUAGAGACCUGCAAAUCAUCUGUGGCCUUGUUUUAUCUUAUUCUCUGGAAUAUACUGGGAAUAGUAAGGAGGCAUGUGUGCCUGAGCAGAAUGAUUAAGGGGAAAAUAUUAGGAAUUGAGGUCAAAGAGUUAAUGAGGUGGGGGUAAGAUCAUAUAUAGCCUUGUAGGACAGUUAAGAAAUCCCGAGUGACCUGAUCAGAGCAGACAAAGUGAUCCUUUUAAAACCUACAAGGAAAAUAGAUGGGGGCUGAGCAAGAGUGGAAGUAGAGAGACCUAUCUUGAUUGAUUUACUGAAGUGAUCAAGAUGAGAAGCAUGGUUCCUUGGACGAAAGUGAGAAGUGGUUGGAUUUUGGAUGUAUUUUGAAAGUAGAGCCAAGAGGACCAAUUAGAUAUGGGGUGAGAGCGAGAGAGAGGAGUGAAAGUUGAAACCAGUAUUUUUGGCUUGUGCACUUAAAAGGAAGGAAUUACCAUUAGUUGAGAUGGGAAAAUGUACAUAGAUGAAGCA